GAUGAACGCUGGCGGCGUGCCUAAUACAUGCAAGUCGAGCGAACAGACGCGGAGCUUGCUCCUCGGACGUUAGCGGCGGACGGGUGAGUAACACGUGGAUAACCUACCUAUCAGACUGGGAUAACAUCGGGAAACCGGAGCUACUACCGGAUAAUAUAUUGAACCGCAUGGUUCAUUAGUGAAAGACGGUUUUGCUGUCGCUUAUAGAUGGAUCCGCGCCGCAUUAGCUAGUUGGUAAGGUAACGGCUUACCAAGGCAACGAUGCGUAGCCGACCUGAGAGGGUGAUCGGCCACACUGGAGGUGAGACACGGUCCAGACUCCUACGGGAGGCAGCAGUAGGGAAUCUUCCGCAAUGGGCGAAAGCCUGACGGAGCAACGCCGCGUGGGUGAGGAAGGUCUUCGGAUCGUAAAACUCUGUUAUUAGGGAAGAACAAAUGUGUAAGUAACUAUGCACGUCUUGACGGUACCUAGUCAGAAAGCCACGGCUAACUACGUG
This 497-nucleotide ribosomal RNA is filed under the name uncultured bacterium. Its description in RNAcentral is "partial 16S ribosomal RNA". It matches the Rfam family "Bacterial small subunit ribosomal RNA", at positions 28 to 507 of the family's 1533-position model. The record is from RNAcentral.